GAGUUGGCCAGGCAGUCGCUGUAUGCAAAUACAGAGGAAAGUCCGGGCUCCAUAGGGCAGGGUGCUAGAUAACGUCUAGGGGGCGAAAGCCUACGGAAAGUGCCACAGAAAACAGACCGCCACUCGGCUUCGGCCGAAGGUAAGGGUGAAAAGGUGCGGUAAGAGCGCACCGCGCUAGUGAAAGCUAGUGGCAGGGUAAACCCCACCUGGAGCAAGACCAAAUAGGGGAAUGCGCCGCUUCGAGCGGUAUCGUGUGGUCCGCAUGAGUUCCCGGGUAGGUUGCUAGAGGUGUUACGGCGACGUACAUCCCAGAUGAAUGACUGUCACACCAUAUGGUGUACAGAACCCGGCUUAUCGGCCAACUCUU
Molecule: RNase P RNA, 367 nt
Filed under: marine eukaryotic metagenome
Description: Bacterial RNase P class A
Rfam family: Bacterial RNase P class A
About the family: Ribonuclease P (RNase P) is a ubiquitous endoribonuclease, found in archaea, bacteria and eukarya as well as chloroplasts and mitochondria. Its best characterised activity is the generation of mature 5'-ends of tRNAs by cleaving the 5'-leader elements of precursor-tRNAs.
Source: RNAcentral